This 111-nucleotide ribosomal RNA is filed under the name Hydrogenophaga sp. RNAcentral describes it as "partial 16S ribosomal RNA". It matches the Rfam family "Bacterial small subunit ribosomal RNA", at positions 1 to 112 of the family's 1533-position model. The record is from RNAcentral. Lineage: Bacteria; Pseudomonadati; Pseudomonadota; Betaproteobacteria; Burkholderiales; Comamonadaceae.
GAACUAAAGAGUUUGAUCCUGGCUCAGAUUGAACGCUGGCGGCAUGCUUUACACAUGCAAGUCGAACGGUAACAGGCCGCAAGGUGCUGACGAGUGGCGAACGGGUGAGUA